RNAcentral lists this ribosomal RNA (100 nucleotides) under uncultured bacterium. RNAcentral's name for it is "partial 16S ribosomal RNA". It matches the Rfam family "Bacterial small subunit ribosomal RNA", at positions 1384 to 1482 of the family's 1533-position model. The record is from RNAcentral.
UACACACCGCCCGUCACACCAUGGGAGUGGGCUGCACCAGAAGUAGGUUGCUUAACCUUCGGGAGGGCGCUUACCACGGUGUGGUUACAUGACUGGGGUG